GAAACGCGAUAGUUAAUGUGAAUUGCAGAAUUCAGUGAAUCAUCGAGUCUUUGAACGCACAUUGCGCCCAUAGGUAUUCCUUUGGGCAUGUCUGUUUGAGCGUCAUUACAACCCUCAGCUAACCGCUGGUUUUGAACCUGAACGGGUGACACCGCGCCGGUUUUAAAGUUGUAAGCUCUGCUGGCCGCUCUGCCCAACCAGAACAUAGUAAGCACUACUUGUCCGGGUGAAGCUGAACGGUACGGCCUGAACAAAACCUACCCACUCUCAAGGUUUGACCUCAGAUCAGACAAUGAUACCCGCUGAACUUAAGC
RNAcentral lists this unclassified non-coding RNA (314 nucleotides) under plant metagenome. RNAcentral's name for it is "partial contains 5.8S ribosomal RNA, internal transcribed spacer 2, and large subunit ribosomal RNA". The stretch from base 1 to 105 matches the Rfam family "5.8S ribosomal RNA", at positions 50 to 154 of the family's 154-position model. The record is from RNAcentral.